This 354-nucleotide long non-coding RNA is filed under the name Bos taurus (domestic cattle). Its description in RNAcentral is "long non-coding RNA NONBTAT016760". The record is from RNAcentral. Lineage: Eukaryota; Metazoa; Chordata; Mammalia; Artiodactyla; Bovidae.
ACAAAAUUUUAAAACUUCUUUAAUUUGGAAUUUGAUAGUUCAAACUACGCAGCAGUUCAAAGUGAAGUUUAUAGUUGUGUUAUAAACAAGUAUUUUUAAAAGUGGCAACAAAUGCUACUCUAUUCCAGAAACUCAUUUCAGAGAAUCUAAACAGCACUGCUUACACAUCCACGGUAUACCCAUUUGUUCCAGACGGAGACCUUGCCCUGUUGUUUCUGACCACGUUUCACUGUGACUGAACAGGACCUAUUUUAGCCUGAAUGUUCUCUUUCUCUUGGCAAUGUCAUAAACACUACAACAGACAAAAUGAAUUUUUAAAACAUUUCAACAAACGUUACAUUUCAAAUUCAGAAA